ACUCCUACGGGAGGCAGCAGUGAGGAAUAUUGGACAAUGGGUGGAAGCCUGAUCCAGCCAUCCCGCGUGCAGGAAGACGGCCCUAUGGGUUGUAAACUGCUUUUAUCUGGGGAUAAACCUACUUACGUGUAAGUAGCUGAAGGUACCAGAAGAAUAAGCACCGGCUAACUCCGUGCCAGCAGCCGCGGUAAUACGGAGGGUGCAAGCGUUAUCCGGAUUUAUUGGGUUUAAAGGGUCCGUAGGCGGACUGAUAAGUCAGUGGUGAAAUCCGACAGCUUAACUGUCGAACUGCCAUUGAUACUGUUAGUCUUGAGUAAGGUUGAAGUGGCUGGAAUAAGUAGUGUAGCGGUGAAAUGCAUAGAUAUUACUUAGAACACCAAUUGCGAAGGCAGGUCACUAAGUCUUAACUGACGCUGAUGGACGAAAGCGUGGGGAGCGAACAGGAUUAGAAACCCCAGUAGUCCC
This 465-nucleotide ribosomal RNA is filed under the name uncultured organism. Its description in RNAcentral is "partial 16S ribosomal RNA". It matches the Rfam family "Bacterial small subunit ribosomal RNA", at positions 335 to 797 of the family's 1533-position model. The record is from RNAcentral.